AUUAAUGAUUAAGUUUAUGUAUUAACAGAUGCUUAAUUGUCCCCUUUAAUUGAAUGUUGUUUUCCCUCUCAGGCCACUACCCCAAUAAGCCCCUCCCCUCGGCAGGUGUGUUGCCAUGGAUACAGGGCAUGUUGUGUAACAUGCAGAACCCUUGUGUCAGUUUCCCCACACCUGGAGAAGCUCCUGGACAGGUGAACAACUUCAACAACUCCACGUGAGUCUCACAAAAAGCACACAAGUUACCGCCUUUAAAAAAGGACUGACAAACGCAUUUUACUGCAACAUGAAAUAAAAAUAUAAACUUAUCCCGAUGUUUAUUUAGAGUGACGAAGGUGUUGGUGGAGGUUCAGUCUCUGCUGGCGGAUCCUGCUUUCUUCAGCUCUGCUAAACUGAUCUCUGAUGAUUUCAGCCAGUGGACGUCUGUCCUGCAGAACACAAACACAAGCGCAGGUCAGUCUAUUCCCCUCCGCAAUUUGCUGAAGACCAACGAGACGUUUUCAGAAUAUCUGACGAACAGCCUUUCGGUGCCAAACACAACAGUGGCGAGUCUGAUGAGGGUGAAGGUUCGGCUCGGACAGUUGCCUUCACUCUCUGCUGAUGGAGAUCUGCGCUCUGUGCUCUGCGGUCCAUCAGUCGAUCGCAUCCUGGAGUUCAGCUCAGCCAAUCAGAAAGCAGAAUUUCAGAACAUCACAUGCUCCCUGACAGCCAAUCAGCUUCUUCAAGCCAGACGAGUGUUUGUGCAGAAUCUGGACAACCUCAAACUCAUGAACGCAGUGAGUGAAACUCUUCUGUUUCUAUUAGACACACGUAAACAAGUCAAAACUGAUAGUUUGGGGUUAAAACUAACACACACAAACACACAUACACAUAUAUAUUAACCCUUAUACUCACUGAGACUCACACACAUACACACACACACACUCAGAGACACACACAAACACACACAUACCCCAUUUGCAGCGUAAUCCCCUGCACAGAUAAAUACUUCAACACACACACACACACAGAUCUGAACAGUGCUUUACCUCUGCAGUAAUGGCUAUUGAGUGUGUGUGAAGGUCAGAGCGACAGACACAGAGAUAAGAGGCCAGUGAAUGGGAGUUUAUUAAGCUUGUUUUAACUGCCUGACAUCCCAGAAUAAACUCUGCAAAUCUAAUGAUCUUUAUAGAUUCAGCCCUACUUCGUUUCAGUUCAGUAAUACCGUCUUAAUCUUUGGCUCCGUGAGGGAGAACCGAUAUAAUACGCAAUUAAGCUCAAGAAAAAAAGAAGGCUCAUUGGAAAUUC
Molecule: long non-coding RNA, 1284 nt
Filed under: Danio rerio (zebrafish)
Lineage: Eukaryota; Metazoa; Chordata; Actinopteri; Cypriniformes; Danionidae
Description: lncRNA (ENSDARG00000117518.1)
Source: RNAcentral